UAUUAAAAGUUCCAUCCAUUCUAUUGUUAAAAACUAACAUAGCGGAUAGAAUAGUUAAACAGGGACAUGUGGCGUGUCACGUCUAUCACACGCUGACAUACAAGGAUUAGUUUUUAACAGUAGAAAUAUUAAAAAAUUUUAAUA
This is a non-coding RNA of Gossypium raimondii (Peruvian cotton), 144 nucleotides long. The record is from Rfam. NCBI's taxonomy places the organism in Eukaryota, Viridiplantae, Streptophyta, Magnoliopsida, Malvales, Malvaceae.